AGAGUAUGAUCAUGGCUCAGAGCGAACGCUGGCGGCGUACUUAACACAUGCAAGUCGAACGGGGAUCUUCGGUGUAGCAAUACAUCGGCGGUCCUAGUGGCGCACGGGUGAGUAACACGUGGGUAACCUGUCCUGGAGUCCGGGAUACCCUUUCGAAAGGAAGGCUAAUACCGGGUACGUUCCCUGGGUUGCUAAAUCUAGGGAGGAAAGGUGGCGAAAGCUACCGCUCUUGGAGGGGCUCGCGGCCUAUCAGCUAGUUGGUGAGGUAACGGCUCACCAAGGCUAUGACGGGUAGCUGGUCUGAGAGGACGACCAGCCACACGGGAACUGAGACACGGUCCCGACUCCUACGGGAGGCAGCAGUGGGGAAUUUUCCGCAAUGGGCGAAAGCCUGACGGAGUGACGCCGCGUGGGGGACGAAGGCCUUCGGGUUGUAAACCCCUGUCAGAGGGAAAGAAGGGUCGCCUGGCUAAUAUCCAGGUGAUCUGACGGUACCUUCAGAGGAAGCCCCGGCCAACUCUGUGCCAGCAGCCGCGGUAAGACAGAGGGGGCAAGCGUUGCUCGGAAUCACUGGGCGUAAAGGGCGCGUAGGCGGGAUGGCAAGUCAGUCGUGAAAUCUCUCGGCUCAACCGAGAAACGUCGGCUGAUACUGCCGUUCUUGAGGGAUGCAGAGGAGACUGGAAUUCCCGGUGUAGCGGUGAAAUGUGUAGAGAUCGGGAGGAACACCGGUGGCGAAGGCGGGUCUCUGGGCAUUUCCUGACGCUGAGGCGCGAAAGCGUGGGGAGCAAACGGGAUUAGAUACCCCGGUAGUCCACGCUGUAAACGAUGACGACUAGGUGUGGGGUGGUUCAGUCCAUUCCGUGCCGCAGCUAACGCAUUAAGUCGUCCGCCUGGGGAGUACGGCCGCAAGGUUGAAACUCAAAGGAAUUGACGGGGGCCCGCACAGCGGUGGAGCAUGUGG
This 961-nucleotide ribosomal RNA is filed under the name uncultured bacterium. Its description in RNAcentral is "bacterial SSU rRNA". It matches the Rfam family "Bacterial small subunit ribosomal RNA", at positions 8 to 944 of the family's 1533-position model. The record is from RNAcentral.